Molecule: long non-coding RNA, 23136 nt
Filed under: Theobroma cacao (cacao)
Lineage: Eukaryota; Viridiplantae; Streptophyta; Magnoliopsida; Malvales; Malvaceae
Description: long non-coding RNA (TCAC_LNC003879)
Source: RNAcentral
UCCAACAGCUGACAAGUUCCAGUUCCAGCGGCGUGGGAGGAGAAACAGACGAGCUGCUCUGCCUGUCAGGCGGCUGGUCGGAGAUCCCUCGCUUGUUAUUUUGAGCAGAAGGAAAGGUGUGCGACUUGAAAUUUCCGUGCUUCUUUUCUUUUCUUUUAUUCUGCUUUUUGAAUGAAUUCAACACGCCCAAGCUUCUAACAAAUAUUCAAACUUAACAACCAACUUUUUUUUUUUUACGGUUUUCUGUUUUCUCUUUCCUUUCUAGAAGGACUACUCUCUCCAUUUUAUUUUGUUUAUCAUUUUUUUCUUUCUUAGUAUAUAAAAAUUGUGUUCUGUUAUCCUUUGUACCAACACUUACAAAAAACGUCUUUAUAUUCCUACUUUCUUUUAUAUUUUGAAUAUAUUUUUAUGAAUUUUUUUAACCUUUUAGCAUUAAAAUUCCUAAUAAUUGAUUUUGAACAUCUGAGCUUUUCAAUAGAGGUAAAAUAUGAUUGAACUUGAAAGCACGCACAAAGUGAUCCAAAGUUAAACUCUUUUUAAUUUGAAUUGAUUUUAAAAAAAUUUAAAAAUUCGAACUCAAAAAUAAUCAAAUUAUAAAGUAACAUAAACUAGAAACAGCAUAAAUUUUAAAUUAUCCAAACCAAUAGCAACUCGAACUUGAAGUGAUCUAAAUAUGCAACAAUUCAAACACGUAACGAUUUGAACUUAAAAUUAAUCAAAUUUUAAAUUUUAAAUUCAUAAAAAUUAAAUAUAGAUAUUUCAUUUUAUUUAAAGUCAUUUAACAUGAAUUUUAAAAAUAGUUUAAAUUAAAUGGUAAUGAAUAAUUAGCUUUUUUUUCUUUUUGAAGUUUUCUAAGCUGGUUUUAUUUUAAUUGAACUUAAAGAUUCGAUUUAUUUGUUGAACUAAAAGGCCGAGUUCCUUGAUUCAGGUUGAAAGCUAACACUGUUAAUUGAUCUUAAUAGGCCAUUUGGGCCUUGGGCUUGCAGCUCCAAAUCACAAAUUUAGAAAGAAAAAACAAAACACUAAAAUUACCAAAAUAGAGAAAUAAAAAAAAUGAUGGAGGGAGGACCACAUCUCCUCCCUGACUGAGAUCAGUUCUGCCAUGGCCAUCAUUGUUGCCCACGCCCCCCUAGUAACCCUAAACUACACUCAAACCCUAGAACCGCGAAAUCACACUCAGACACCGUCCCUCUUACAACAACAGCAAUCCUCUCCAUCCAUCAUCAAGUAUUUUCUAUAAAAACAAAAAAUAACUUCAUAAAAAUUCAGCAAUAGCAACCACAAAAAAUAUACAUAAACGAAAUUUAAAAAAAAAAAGAACAAAGUGAGAAAAAUGAGGCCAUUUCCUUUGGAUCUUGGAAGGAAAGCAAGUGAAGGCAAGGUCUUGGUUUUUUUCUUUAAAAAAAAAUUGAUUGGCUUAAGAGAGAAUUUUUUGAAAAACAUAGGAUAAAAAUGAUGUGAAUUUUUUUUGAAAAAAACAGAAAUCAAAUAAAAAUAGGAAUAAAAAAACAAGUAAAUGGAAAUCAAUCAAUAAUGGAAUUUUUAAAAAUUUGUAUUUUUUUGAAAAUUCUUAGGUCAAAGAAAUUUUUAAGAUUCUGCCAAAAAGUGUUCCAGAAUUUUUAAGAAAAUUUCAAUGUCAAGUCUUUUCAUUUAUUCCAAAAAAUAAAUAAAAAAUAAUAAAAAGUAUAAAAAGGAUUCAUACAAAAGAACAAAAAGAAACAAGAAAGAAUGGAAGGUCUAACCCAAAUCUUUUCAUAAAAUAACCAAUAAAUCUAACGAUGGAGCCUAUUUAAGAAAAUAAAUGACUUUCUUAAAUACUUUUGAGGUGAGAGUAUUUUCCUUAGUUUUUGCUAUAAGUUUUAGGAAAAGCUAGAAAAAGCUUUCAAUAUUUAAAUAAUGGGUAAAUAGAAAAUUAAAGAAGAAAAGAAAAGAAUACAUGGACAACAGAUUAUAAUAUGAUUAAGUUAGGGAUUAUGCUAGCUUAGUUCAAGUUAUGACACUUAUAAGCUUAGCUUAAGUCAAUAAUAAACGAUUGAAUGUCAUAGGGACUGUUUAAACUCCAAGAAUCAAAUUUGAGUGAAGUGUUGGUGUUGAUUAUGUGUUAGCAAAUUGAUUUUUCGAGGUGAGUAGAUACUUCGUUUUAAGUAUUUUAAUACAUAUAAAAAUAAGCAUGAUUAUCCAAUGAUUUGCCUCACAUGAUUACCAUGUUGUUCUCCAUCAUUGUGAAAGAUUUAAAGAUGAAUUCAAUGUUUAUUUGGCCCUUAUCACAUGUGGUAUGAUGCCUUACAUUUUGCUCGAGUGUUCGUGUGGACUAACGGCCCACAUCUGUCCCUUGUCACGUGUGGUACGACGCCCCACAUUUGGCCUUUAUGCACUCAUGGCAAUUUCAUACAUACUUAAGACAUUAUUAUUGCAUAACAUUUAACAAUUAAAAUUUAUGAUGAUCACAUUCUAUUAUUUCCAUACAUAACAUAAUUUCACUGGUGGGUAUUAUUACAUCUACCCAUAGCCAUCAUGUGGUGGAGACUUACUCAUCCACUCUUAUAAUUUAUAUUUGUGGACAUUUUACCAUCCACAUUUAACAAUCCAAUGGUGAAGACUUAUUCUGUCACGACCCGGAACUCCCCAUCGGGCCCGUGACAACAGUCGCGACGUUCCGAUAAGCACUCAUUACCUCGAAUAGUGAUCGAAACCCCACAAGGCUUAGCAUCAACUUCCGCAUCUCCCCAGUGAGCGACAGUUAUUAAAUCUCGCAUUUCAAGAAAUCAUAAGUUUUUUCCAAAUCAAAACAAUAAAAUAUUAUUUUCUGGCUCACAAGGGCAUUUUCGUCAUUUUUCUUCGAAAAUACCAAAACCCACCAAAAACAUGGUGUAAAAGCUAAAUAUGUUCAUACAUACUUUAAAUCAAAUAACUAAAGUAUAAAAUUACUUUUACAAUGACACGUGGGCCCCCAACUAACCAAUAAGAUGCGAGUUUGUGAACUUACAAUUUUAUCGAUGCAAGGCUAACUGAAGUCCUUGAUGCAAUCGGCUAUCUAUCGGCUAUCCCGAGCCUGAAAUGUGGGGAAUUGAGGAUGGUGAGGUUAUAAAAUCCUAGUGAGUAAACAGACACCAUCUAAACUAUCUAAAGACGAGUAAAUGGAGACGAAUUAAAAUAUUCUUUUUCAAUAUAUGUUUCAUAACAUGAAUAUUUAGUUUACUCAAUUAAUCAACAUGGCUUAUAUAUCUCACAAAACUUGGCUCCUGUCAAAAUCAUUCUCGCGGAUACCUUCGUCAAGGUAUCCCACUGAGAUCGCCAAGGCUGUUAAAAAUUCAUAUUUCGUAUAAAAUACAUUUUUCAUUGAACAUCACAGCCGUUCCUUAGCAUUGGCUGAGUCUCACUCUCACGUGGUGGUUAACGUGAAGUGCACUAAAAAAGCCCACCUCAAGAGAUACCUACGCGCCUCUAUGACCGAGGUGAGAAUAUAAAGGAGUUUACCGUGACCCUCUAAUAGGCUGGUCCACGGAACCCCCGCUGCAGUAAAUAAUUAAUAUAUACUCCACCAAUUCAAUAAAAUUCAUUCUAGCAUGGCAUGGCAAUUUAUCGCAAUCUAGCCUCUCAAGGCUGAAUACACAAUACAAAUAAUUCUGACACCAAAAUCAAUUUAGCCAUUCAUGCUCAUAUAUUGUCAUAAGCCAUUCAAUUUAAAACCAUAAAUUUACAACACAAGCAGGCAGUCUCCAAUUACUCUAUUUUCAAAACCAGUAUUCGAUUUUUCAGAAAAUUUAUAAAAUCAUUUUAUAAAAUCACAAUUUCUCUUAAAACAUAGCAAUUUACCAUUUAAACCCAUUUUUCAUAAAAUCACACAAUUGUAUAAAACUACUCUAGAUAAUUAAGACGAUAAUAAGUUUACUCACAGUUUUCGAAAACUAAAUUCGGGUACUCCAACUAUUACUCAUCGGGUUCGAUUUCUUUGCCCUUGCCAAAGGAUUCACCACCUUGACAAAUUGCACAAUUAAGAGGUUUACUACUUUGGUACUAAACCAAAAUAAACUAAUUUAUACUACUAAUGCAUGAUAUGAAGUGCAAAAUGUCUAAAUUUUACCUAAACGAGAUGUUAGCCUAUUUUGAUCUUUUACCCGAUAAAUCGAUAUACGCGUCCGUUUAAACUCCAAAUUAAUUUUUUUUUUCAGUUUCUAUACCUCAAUUGCACCCAAAUUGACUUAAUGUCCCUCAGUGUGAUUCAAAUUAUCGGUCUCGACAGUAAAUUACGAAAAUACCCUUAGUGGGUAAAAAUUCGUAUUUUUGCUCUGAAAAUUUCCAUUAUUUUUUUAGGCUCAUAAUUCAUCAUUAUUCAUCAUAAUUCCUCAAAUAAACAUCAAGAUCAGCAGCCAAUAUUCCCCUAGAAAAUUUGGCAUAAUGGGUUUCAAUGGGAGAAAGUUAUUUCUCUAGCUUAUUUUUGCUAUAUUUCAAUAUAACCUAACUAAAAUCACUUAAUUCAAUUAAAACCAACCAAAACUCAAGCUCAAAACUCAUCCAUGGAGGUUUGUCCAGCAUGGGUGUCCAUACCCACUUCCUAAUUUUGCAUGGAAAUGAGAAAAAUAUGCAUGGGUAGUGAAAAUCACAAGGAAAAUCAAUGAAAUUUACCUUUUUAAUGCUUGAUAUCUUGAUUUCUCUUGAUUUUCCCCAAAUUUUUCAGCUAGGGUUCUUAUUUCUUUUCCCCCUUUUCUCUCCUGAUUUGGACGGCUUGAAGAAGAUGAGGAUUCUGGAAAUUUUGACAUUUUUAAAGGCUAAAAUAAUAUAAUAUUAUUUUAUUCAUUUUUUUGUUUUAUUAAUUCCUUAAAUUCCAGCCAUCCAUUUGUUUCCAAAUUUUCACCAUACACUUGUCCCACAUAUCCAUAGCUUAGAUAAAAUUCUCAGACUUAUCCAAAGUCUUGGUGGAGUAAUUUUUGAAAUUUACACUUUCGCCCCCGUAAAAGUCAAAAAUUACAGUUUUACCCCAAAAACUGAAAAAUUACCCAUAGACAUAUAUUUCAUCCCUCAUACUCAUACCAUUCUCCAAUUUGUCAAAUGUGAUCUAAAUUCUCUCAAAAUCUCAAAUUUUGUCCGUGGGUGGAAAAAUUACGAUUUUGCCCAUACACUUCAAAAAUCACCGGAAUUAAACUUUUUCACUGCCAAACCCUCAAAUUAUACUCCAAUACUCAAAUCAUACUCCAAUAAGUUAAAUGGGGCCAAAAAAAUCUUUUCUAAAAAUUCUCAUUUUGUCCCCAAGUGGUAAAUGAUCAUUUUGCCCCUAAAUAGUGAAAAUUUCGAUUUGACUCCAAAUUGAUCCUCGAACUCUGAAUUACCAUUUUGAGUCAUCCCUGAAUUGUGAAACUCUUAAUUUCACCUUAAAAUUCCUAUUUGAACUAGUUCGAGGCUUAAUCGACUUAAUGGUACCAUUAGGGGCAAUAUCGUCUUUUAACAAUUUCUCGAAAUUCCUAAAUAUGCAAACUUUCGAUUGAGCAUGUAAAUGACGUCGUAAUUAUCUUAUAGAAUAGGGUUUGACAUAUUCAUCCACUGUUAUAACUAUGUUUAUGGGCAUUUUACUAUCCACAUUCACCUUUUUGUAAAGGCGUCUUAUUCCACCCACACUAGCACAUAGGUUGAGAUGGUUUGUCUAAUAUUUCACAUUCAUAAAGAAAUGAGUGGGUAUGUAUUCAUUUGCCUAAGCUUUGACUUAGCCAAGCAUCAAUUUUGCAACAUACAUCCAAUCGAGGAGUACUAGAAUAAAAUCAUUAGUUGAUUUUCACACAAGUGCAUGUAUCGUUAACAAGUAAUAUAGUAGAAAAUAAAAUUCAUUCCCACAGAGAAUUGAAUUAAUUCCUACUUGCUAACUACUAAAAUUAUCACACCUUAAUCUUAUCCAAACAAUUAAAAAUUGAAUUAAAAAGAAAAAUUAAUUUUAACAAACUAAAGAUUAAAAUUAAUCUAAAAUUAACUAGUAAAAUUAUUUUAUUAAAUCUGAUUGACUUUUAGACCUAAGAUUAUAACGUCCCUCAAUAUUUCAUCUGAAUAUUGUCUCUCUCUCUCUUAAGUUAGUUUAAUGGAUUAAGUUGUUAAUCUAAAGUCCUAAUUUAUUUACAAGUCUUUGUUGAGUUUCUCAUAAAAAUCUCUCCCAAUUAAUUUAUUAUAUGCUUAUGCAAAUUAAAUUAAAGACAGAUCCAUUAAGUUUAUGUUCUAAUUUUGGCUUCAUAUGGCUUAUAGGUGUAUGUUUACCCUAUAUGCUAAUCAAACCACUUAAUCAACUAAGUGCAUUCAAUCAUACACUAUUCUAUUUUAGGUUUACCUAAUCUCUUUCACCAAAGUUUAACUUAGGUUUCAAUUCAAUCUAAUUGAUGGCCAAUCAACUAGAAACAUUAAGAAUAUAAUAAAAUAAACAACUUAAAUCCAUCAGACAUAAAUAAAAGAGAGAUAAAUAAAUUAAACUACGCAUUGAGUUCAGCCAUAAUCUUAGAUAAAUAAAUUAGUUCCUCAUCAAGUCACACAUCAUCAUCAUCAAAUAAGGUUUAAACAUUCAAAUCAAACUAAGAAAAUAAGAGAAUAACAAAAGGAUGAUAGAACCCAAGAAUUUAUAAUCUUGAUUUUCCAAUUCUUCUUGAAUCCUUCAAAUUCUUCUCAGCUUUAAUGACUUUACUGCUUGAUUCUCAACUAUCAAUAUGGUGUUUCGUUCUCCUUCUUUAAAAAGUCCUUCAAAAUGUUAUUUUUAUAGGGCUUUGAAGUUGGGCUAAGUUGGGUGAAAAAAGAAGUCUAUUUUAAUAAGGAUUUCCUUAUUAGACUAUGUGAGUCGCGGCCUCGACCAUUUAAUUAGCAAAAAUCGUAAUUUCUCUAGGACUUUUGUAGUGUUUCAACUUUAACAUGAUUUUUGACCAUUUUGCAAGCUGAAUUGGGUGAAUUGGUAAGUAUGGAAGUUGUAUCUUUUUCUCUUAGGUUUUCAAUGGUAUAAGAAUCAUCUCAAUUGGAAUUCUGUAGAGAAAGUUAUGAUCAAAAUGUUGGUCCUAAGUAAAUGUGCUAGAAGAGGGGUGAAUAGCACUUUUUAGCUCUUAGCAAGAUGAGGAACUAAUUUGAAAAGCAAUGAAAAUAAAAACAAAUUAGACAAUGCACAGGAAUUUAGAGUGGUUUGGUCUAAGACCUACAUCCACUAUCUUGAUUAUUCAACUAAGGAUUUUCCAAACUAAACACUAUGAACGGUGAAAUUCACAAGCUUUCACCAAGCUUUUACAAUGGCUUUUACCAGGCUUAGCCAAAACCUUUCACAAUAGUUUUUACCAAGAUCAACUAAAACCCAACACCUAACUUUUCAAGGCUAAGUUAGAACCUAUACCCAAUCAAGCAAUCCUAGCUUGAAUCAAUCCCUUAGAGUGACUUGUUCAUUCUAAGAAUACAAGGAGAACAGUGAUAAGAGUGUACCUAUGAUCACAAGGUUGAUCUAAGUGGUACAAAUGAAGAGUAGAUCACAAUUACAAAGAUGAGAGUUGAGUAUAGUAAAUGAGCAGAGAGUAUUUGCAAGUUUUUCAGCUCUUUUUUUGUGUUCUUGGAAGCCUCCAAUUACAUUUCUAAUCGUUGGAAGUCUCUUUUAUACUUGAAAAAUCAGUUCUGAAGUGAGUUAGAUAGUUUUUUACCAUUGGAAACAGUUUGGGUAGAAAUUUUGGCCGUUAAUUUGUCUUUUAUUGCAGGAUUCAAAUUUACAAACAAAAUGCUCUUAGUCGACUAACAUAUGUCUUAGUCGACUAAGUUGUCUCUGUUUUUUGUUUCCAGUUUCUAGCAGUGGGCACUUAGUCGACUAACUUACUUCUUGGUCGACUAAGUUGGUUCCUUUUUCCUUCAUCAUAUUUUCAAGCUUUGCAAGUUUUUAUUCCAUUUUCACCAUUUUUGAAGGUUGCUCUAUAAGCUUCCCAUCCAUUCUCAUCAACAGAUUGAAUAUCAUUUCACUAGAAAAUUGUGAGGGUGUUGCCUCUGUCUGUGCUGGUAUUGCAGAGACCUUGGGUGAUUUAACAAAAGUUUCUCCAUUUAACUUGUAACCCAUAUUUGACAGACUACCUAAAUAGAUAGCCAGGUCUCUACUAUUUACCAAGUCCAUUUCAUACCUUUUGGUCCAAAUUCCUUUUUUCUGUACUAGUGCAGUAAUGAUAUUUCCAUAUGACAGAUUUAUCUUGUCCCCUGUACAGGCUCUUCUCAUUCUUUCAACCAUAAAUUGACCUAGAUUCCGGGGAGUACCAUUGAAUGCAUGCUCCAUUAGCCAUAAGUUUUGAAGGCUAAUGUAGCUAAAACUAUCACUUCUGCCAUGAAUAUUUGUUGAAAUAAAGUAAUGCAGAAUCCUAAUUUGAGGACUGGUAAUCAGGCUGGCAUUACUUUUGGAGGAGUAUUUUUCCUUCCUCCCUGUAAUUAUUUCCCACAAGGAGGAUGGGUCAUAAUUUUCAGGAAAGUCAAACUCUCAUUCCUCACAUUCGAUUUUAAGUAAACUCCCUAGAUCAACAGCAGUUACAGUAAAUUCCUUUCCAUUUAAAAACACAUUCAAGCCAUCAUUAAGAUAAUCAUCAGGCUCCUCUAGUUCAUCUUUGUCAAUUGCUAUACUUGAAUAAAAUUCUUUUACCAAGUUAGCAUUAUAGGAUCGAUUUUUAAAGAUGCUAAACUCCUUCAGUUUUAAUUCCUCAAAAUAAUCAGAUAAGCUUGUUUGAAUUUCUAGAAUUUUACUGAAACUAUCCCAAUUAAUGUAUUUUCCACAAGUAAUGGGGGCAUUCUCUAAUCUCUUGUUUCUAUCUUCAUGUGCUUUAUUCCUAAACUUAGAAGAUAAGGUGUUACCUUUCUUAGAUGAUUUUCCCUUCUCUUUUUUCUUCUCUGUUUUCUUCUAUGUUUUCUGUUCUUUUUCCUUCUGCGAUUUUCCAGAUUUUUCACUUAUCGAUGCAGACCCAAUUUUUUGUUUCUUUUUCUAUAUUUUUGCUUGCAUGCCUUCUUUUAGUGGUCGUUUUCCUUUCUUCCUCUCAGCAAUCUCUUUAGUCAAAGAGGCUUUUGCCAUUUUGGAUUUGAGAAAUUUCAAAUUGAGGGUUUUGAGAAUCUGAGUGGAGAGGGUUUCAGCUUUGGGUGGAUUGGUUUCAGAAGAGAGAAAAUGUAGAGGAAAUGAGUUAAUGGGCAAUUUGAUUUUCCCAAAAACUGUCUGUCUCCCUUUUAAAUACUGUCAGUUUUUCUCCUGUUCAAAAUUCAAACUUUGCCUCCUAUUUUAUUUUUCAUCUAGGUAGUAUUUUCUACCCAUUCUUUUCACCUGGUAUACUGCCCUGUUCACUAUUUUAUUCUUUUUCUCUUCUAACUACUGAGUCUUAUUAUUUAAAGAGACAGAAUGCUCUUAGUUGAUUAAGUGCCUCUCUUAGUCGACUAAAUGCCUAUUGUCUUUUGAGAAAAUUUUAGAAUUUUUCCUAAAGCUCUUGCAUACUAAUCAUUCCUAAAUUUCUUCUAAUCUCAUAGAAUCUAUCCUCAUUUAAGGGUUUUGUGAAGAAGUCGGCUAAUUGAUGUAAAGUAUUUACAAAUUCAAUUUUAAUGUCACCUUUAACUACAUGAUCUCUAACAAAGUGGUGCCUAAUCUCAAUAUGCUUAGUCCUAGAAUGCUACACAGGAUUUUUUGAAAUGUUGAUUGCACUUUUAUUGUCACAAUAUAUUGGUAUGUUAUUCAUUGACAUUCCAUAGUCUUUUAGUUGUUGUUUAAUCCAUAAGAUUUGAGCACAACAGUUGCCUAAAGAUACAUAUUCUGCUUUUGCUGUAGACAGAGCAACUAAAUUUUGCUUUUUGCUAGACCAUGACACAAGCAUAUUACCUAGAAACUGGUAGGUUCCACUAGUGCUCUUUCUAUCUGUUUUGUUGCCAGCAAAAUCAGCCUCUGAAUAUCCAACUAAGCUAAAGGAUGAUUCUCUAGGGUACCAUAUGCCUAAAGUUUGUGUGUCUAUGAGGUAUCUAAAAAUUCUUUUAACAGAAGUCAUGUGUGAUUCUUUGGGUUGAGAUUGAAAACGAGCACACAAACACGUACUGAAUUGUACAUCAGGCCUGCUAGCUGUUAAAUAAAGAAGUGAUCUGAUCAUACCUCUAUAAAGCUUUUGAUCAACAUCCUUUCCUUUUUCAUCUAAAUCAAGUCUGGUGGAUGGACUCAUUGGUGUAUAAAUUGAUUUCAACUUUAGCAUAUCAAACCUUUUGAGCAUGUCUUGAGUGUAUCUUUCUUGAUUGAUGAAGAUUCCUUUCUCACAUUGUUUGAUUUGAAGCCCAAGAAAAUACUUUAGCUCACCCAUCAUGCUCAUCUCAAAUUCUCCCUGCAUUUCUUUAGCAAAAUUCUUGCAUAAAGCCUCAUUAGUUACACCAAGCACAAUGUCAUCCACAUAAAUUUGAACAAUAAUUAAAUCUUUUAAAUAUCUUUUGAUAAAUAAUGUUGUAUCAAUACUACCUCUAACAUAACCUUUUUCAACCAAAAAUUUUGAAAGCCUUUCAUACCAAGCUCUAGAAGCUUGUUUCAAUCCAUACAAGGCUUUGUGAGGUUUGAAAACAUGAUUUGGUUUUUCAUAGUCCUUAAACUCGGGGGGUUGCUCAACAUAAACUUCUUCUUGGAUGAAACCAUUUAAGAAUGCACUCUUUACAUCCAUUUGGAAUAACUUAAAGUUCAUAAAGCAAGCAAAUGCAAGCAGUAAUCUUAUAGCUUCUAUCCUAGCAACCGGUGCAAAGGUUUCAUCAUAGUCUAUUCCUUCCUCUUGGUUAUAUCCUUAGGCUACGAACCUAGCUUUAUUUUUGACAACAUUCCUUUGCCCAUCUACCUUAUUUCUAAACACCAAUUUUGUUCCAACAUUAGGGUGAUUUAUAGGCCUAGAGACUAAUGACCAUACAUGGUUUCUUUUCAAUUGAUCAAGUUCCUCUUGCAUGGUCAAUAUCCAGCUUUCCUUUUUUUCUGCUUCCUCAAAUGUUUUAGGCUCAAUUUGAGAUAUGAAAGCUAAAAACUCACAAGUCUCCCUUGUUGCUCUCCUAGUUUUAACACCUUGUGAAAUAUCACAUAUUAUUAGUUCUUGUGGGUGAUCUUUUGCAUAUCUCUAACUCCUUGGAAGGUCAUUAUGCUGAUUUUCAGUUCUUUGCAGGGUUUCUAUGGGUGGAGGUUCUGUUUCUCUACCUAGGGUAUUUUUUUCACUAUUUUUCUUAUCAUCUAAACUCAUCUUUUCCAUUUGUCUUUCAAGGACAUUCGUAUCAUUUUCAUCAUCAGAAAUUUCCUUUUGUAAGGUAUUGGAUUCAUUAAAAACUACAUGGAUGGAUUCUUCAACAGUUAAAGAUCUUUUGUUGAAGACUUUAUAGACUUUUGAGUUUAAUGCAUAUCCUAGAAAUAUAGCUUCAUCACUCUUUGCAUCAAACUUUCCUAAAGGCUGUUUACCAUUGUUCAAUACAAAACACUAACAGCCAAAGCUCAUAAAGUGAGAGAAAUUUGAUUUUCUACCCUUGUAAAGUUCAUAUGGAGUCUUUGAUAUCAUGACUCUUAUAGACACUCUAUUAAGAAUAUAAGUUGCUGUGUUAACAACUUUUGCCCAAAAGUAUUUAGGUAGAUUAUUCUCACAUAACAUAGUUUAAGCCAUUUCCUUCAAGGUUUGAUUUUUCCUCGCUACAACUCCAUUUUACUGGGGUGUUCUAGGUGUAGAAAAAUUAUGAUCCAACCCCUUUUCAUUAAAAAAAUUCUCAAAUUCAUCUCCUUCAAACUCACCUCCAUGAUCACUCUUAAUACUAACUAUAGCUAGUCCUUUUUCAUUUUCAACCUUCCUACAAUGACUUAUGAAUGUUGGUAGAGCAUCAUUUUUAUGAGCAAGGAAAUAUACCCAAGUGUACCUAAAGUAAUCAUCAACUAUUACAAAGCCAUAAGAUUUUCCUCCUAGACUAGUUGUACUUAUUAGACCAAAUAGAUCAAUGUGCAUCAGUUCAAGAGGUCUAGAUGUGGAAACAACUUUCUUGGUUUUAAAGGAUGUUCUAACUUGUUUUCCUAGCUGGCAAGCAUCACAUAUCUUAUCAUUUUCAAACUUAAGAUUCGGCUGUCCAAUAACUAAAUUUUUUCUACUCAACUUUGACAUGGUAUGCUUGCUCACAUGUCCUAAUCUCCUAUGCCAUAACCAACUAUCAUUUUCAGCAUUUGCCACAAGACAUAUUUCAUAAUCCAUUUCAAGAUCCUCAAGAAAUACAACAUACAUAUUCUUUAAACUUCUUCCUAUAAAUGAGACUUUAUUAGUGCUUAUGUCUAUCACUUCACAUUUGGUUGAGUCAAAACAUACCUUAAAUUCUUUAUCACACAAUUGACUAAUGCUCAAUAAAUUAUAUUUCAAACCUUGAACCAAUAACACAUUGCUAAUUUGAGUUAGAGAGUUCUUACCAACUGUUCCUAUGCCAUGAAUUCUACCUUUUGAAUUAUCACCAAAAAACACGGCUCCUCCCUUUUUCUUGUCUAGCUGUACAAAUAGCAUUUCAUUUCCUGUCAUGUGCCUUGAGCAGCCACUGUCCAUAUACCAAGGCUACUUCUUCUUGAGUUGAGCUCUUGAACAUGUAUCUUUUGAGUGCAGCUCAACUUACAAAACAAAUAUUCAGUUUUUCUUUAUAGGUACCCAUACCUUGAUGGGUCCUUGAUUGAUAGCAGCAACAUAGGAUCCUUUUGGAACCCAUAUUUUUCUUAUUUUCUGCAUAUUUUUUUUUCUAUUGCAAUCAUAGGAUAAAUGGCCAACUUUAUCAGAAAUAUAACACCUAGAUGAUGCAUUAGCAGAAUUUUGCUUGUAGUAAACAUUUCUUUUUGGAGUUUCAUUCUUCAAACUUUUGAGUGCAGUAUUUUCUUCACUUAGCUUUUGUAAGACUUCAGUUUUGCUUUCCAAUUCCAAUUUUAGAUUUUCAAAAUCUUUUUUUGAGUGCUCCAAUUCAAUUUGCAGAAAAUUUCUUUGUUCAAAAUUAGAAUCAAAGUCAUGUUUAAUCUUUUCCAAAUCUGAUUCUAAAGAUGCAGAUUUUUUCUUUAAAGUCUUGUAUUUCAAAACAAGUUUCUCAAAUUCAUCAUACAAACAUUCAUAUUCUUCCUAAAGUUCAUCAAUAGAAAUAUUGCAAGGGGAUAAGGAUACCUCAGAUUCAUCAUCCCGUGCCAUCAAACACAGGUUUGCUUUUUUUUCUUCCUCAGCUUCAGAACUUGAAGUAUCAUUGUCGGACCAAGUAGCUGCCACCAUUGCCUUCUUUGAUUUCUUAUUUCUCUUUGGAGUUUCUUCUUUCAGUAAGGGGUAUUCAUACUUGAAAUGUCCAAGCUUCUUGCAUUCGAAGCAGGUUAGUUCUUUCUUCUUGUUGGAGUAAUUUUUUUUUUCUGAUUCUCCAUGAAGAACCUUGAUCUUUUCUAAACCCUCUUCUAGCUAGUCUUCAGUUUCUUUUGCCCAUCAAUUUUCUAAAUCUUCUAGCAACCAGUGCUAGUUCUUCAUCAUCAUCACAGGAUAGGUCAUCUAGUUCUUCUUCAAGAAUACUAGCUUUUAGGGCGAUGCUCUUCUUUUUUUCUUUUGCUUCCUUUCUAUCUUCCUCUUCUCUUCCUUGAGUUCUAGCUCAUGAGUAAGGAGAGAAUCACAAAUUUCAUCCAAAGUUAUGACAUUUAGGUCCUUUGCUUCUCGGAUUGCUAUCACCUUAGGCUUCCAAUUCUUGGGUAGGCUUCCAAGAAGUCUUUUAACAACUUCAUGCUCGGGAAUUGGUUUGCCUAGUUGACUUAGUUUGUUUGUGAUGUUUGUGAAUCUAUCUAACAUGCUAGUGAUAUCUUCACCAGGCUGCAUCUUAAACAUUUCAUAAUUGUGGGUCAAGAAGGCUAUCUUGGACUCCUUGACUUGAGAAGUCCUUUCAUGGAUAAUCCUAAGUUUAUCCUACACCUGUUUUGCUAUGGUACAGCUUGAUACUUUAUUGAAUUCAGUGGGAGUUAAGGCACAAUGCAAUGUGUUAAUUGCCUUAAAAUUGGUCUGGACUCUUUUAGUUUCAACCUCGAUCCAUUCAGACCUUGGCUUAGGGAUCAUCUCAUUUGUCACUACAUUUAGAGUUGAGGGAAUGAAUGAUUGAUCAGUUAUGACAUCCCACAUCUUAUAAUCAAUUUCCCUAAUAUAUAUUGACAUCAUAGUGCUCCAAUAAGGAUAGUUAAAGCCAUCAAACAAAGGUGGUCUGUUUGUUCAUUUUCCCUCAGCAACCACUGAUUUUUGUAAAGCCAUUAGGAUCCUCCCAAAGGGUGUUAGACCUUAAUAACAAGAAACUUGCUCUGAUACCACUUGUUGGUCCCAAGUAAAUGUACUAGAGGGGGGGUGAAUAGCACUUUUUGGCUCUUAGCAAGAUGAGGAACUAAUUUGAAAAGCAAUGAAAAUAAAAACAGAGUAGACAAUGCACAGAAAUUUAGAGUGGUUUGGUCCAAGACCUACAUCCACUACCUUGAUUAUUCAACCAAGGAUUUUCUAAACUAAACCACUAUGAACGGUGAAAUUCACAAGCUUUCACCAAGCUUUCACUAAGCUUUCACCAAGCUUUCACCAAGCUUUCACCAAGCUUUUAUAAUGGCUUUUACCAGGCUUAGCCAAAACCUUUCACAAUAGUUUUUAUCGGGAUCAACUAAAACCCAACACCUAACUUUUCAAGGCUAAGUUAGAACCUAUACCCAAUCAAGCAAUCCUAACUUGAAUCAAUCCCUUAGGGGGACUCGCUCACUCUAAGAAUACAAGGAGAAAAGUGAUAAGAGUGUACCUAUGAUCACAAGGUUGAUCUAAGUGGUACAAAUGAAAAGCUGAUCACAAUUACAAGAUGAGAGUUGAGUGCAGUAAAUGAGCAAAGAGUAUUUAUAGGUUUUUCAGCUCUUUUUUUGUGUUCUUGGAAGCCUUCAAUUACAUUUCUAGCUGUUGGAAGUCUCUUUUAUACUUGAAAAAUCAGCUCUGAAGUGAGUUAGACAGUUUUUGACUGUUGAAAAUAGUUUGGGUAGCAAUUCUUGCUGUUAAUUUAUCUUUUAGUGCAGGAUUCAAAUUUGCAGACAGAAUGCUCUUAGUCGACUAACAUAUGUCUUAGUCGACUAAGUUGUCUUUGUUUUCUGUUUCUAGCUUCUGGCAGUGGGCAUUUAGUCGAUUAACUUACUUUUUGGUUGACUAAGUUGGUUUUGUCUUGAAGUCCAAAUUUCUGGCAAUAGCUUCUUAGUCGACUAACCCAUUCCUUGGUCGACUAAGUCUUUUCUGUCUCUCAAUACUCUUCAGCCCGCCAACUUUUGGUUUGAAUUUUAGUUGACUAACUCUUCAUUAAUCGACUAAGGGGCUUCUGUCUUGUUGAUCAAUUGUGACUUCCUUAUUCCUAUGCUCUUUGAUAUGUGCAUUUGAAUGAUUUAUUAAUUUUUGCAUACAAUAUUUGUCCUGCACACUCAAGUAAAGAUAUUAGAGACAAAUGAAUAGAAAUGUUUUAUUAUCAUCAAAACCUAAUGGAGCCAACACAAAAUACCAAAACAUGUGCUAUGAAAGUUUGCAUUUCAAAAUUGCUUUCCUUCUUCCAUUAAAAGUCUUCCUUCAUUAAACACCUACAAAAGCACAAAUAAAUCAAUAACAACCUAUCUUAAUCACAUUAACACCAAAUAAAGCAUAAAAUUAACUAAGAUUAGAUUGACCCUCAUAAAUUAACUAAUUUAAAAUCAUUUAAAUAAAACUUAUUAAUUUCUAUACAUUAUUAUAAGAACUAAGCUAAAAUACUACCAAAAUUAAGCCUGAAUAACUCUAUAUCAUAGAGUUACCAUACCCCCAAACUUAAUAUUUUGCUAGUCCUCGAGCAAAACAUAGAAAAGAAUCUAACUUAUGAAAAUCAAAUUCAGAUGGUAACAAAAUAAAUGUAUUUACUACUACUAGAGAUAAAGUGCCCCAACUCAAUGAUUCCCCAUAAUUUCCUUAAAAGUAUAUCUAUCAAUCAUUAACUUAAGGAAAAAUAUAGGCAUCAUUCAAAUUCAUGUUUCAAUUCUAAUGCAAGCACAUUCUCGAAGGGAUUUUCGUGUGUGUGUGAAAACUUUUACCAAGAAUAUCAUGACUUUCAGAUGAGUUUAUGCCAACAUAAAUUUCAAAUUAGUAUUAGCACUCCAUAAGUUUACUUUUCAUCUCUCUCUCCACUAAUGUAGACUAACACCAAGCUAGGGAUCAAUAGGACUUUAAUAACCUUGUAAUAUAUGGCUAGGGUCCAUGUAGGAUAAAAGAUAAUAAUGUGGCUCAAAUUACCCUAAGCACAUAAUUAUUCUAGGACCUUUAUAUAAAGUUUUAUUUUCCAUCUCCAAGUACACCUUUCUUUCUUCACUUUUGAACUUUUCUUUUGUUCAACACACAUUUUUUUUUUAUAAUUUUACAAUUUCACACCUCCAAACUUAUUUUCUUUGUAUUGUAGGUAGUGGGGUGAUUUUUAAUAUUUUGAACUUUUGUUUUCUUUUUUUCACAUCAACAUCACCUCUCUAGAAUGUAGUUAAAUAAAGAAAAGGGAACUUCGGCUCAAAUGGGCAUACUAGAGAUAAAGAUUUAAUAAGGUUGGCUUUUUAGGCUCAAACGGUCCAAAGAUGGCCUAAAUCAUCUCCUUAACUAAGUAUUGCCUAGGAUUUUGCCUCGAGAGAGAAUGAAGCAAAUUUUAGAAUUCUUGAUAUAAUCUAAAUUUUAUAUUAGUAUAAACCUUCUCUAGAUAUUCACAAUAAUUCAAAGUAAAAAUAUAGUGCUCAAAAUUAUGGAAUUACAUCCUAACAAUGAUACUUAACAAAAGAAUUUAGCAUGAAUCUGAACAAAAACCUUUUUUUUUACCAAAAGAUAAGAAUUCAAGACAACUAAUUAUUAUCAUUGGAUAGAGAAAUCAUCGAAAAAAAUUGGCACAACUUUACUCUAGAUUCCUAAAAUUUGAAUAAAUAAUAAAUUAAAUUACUAACUAAUCCUAAAUUAUUUAUAAAUCUAGAUACGCAUGCAAAUAAAAUUGAAUCUAAAACUUCCAUAGAAUAUUUACAACCAAAAAAAAAAAAUUCACCUGCCCAAACUUAAACUAAAGAUUGUCCUCAAUGUUAGGAAAAAUAAAGGAAAGGUAAAGAAUACUCCCCUGAUGGUUGGAUGAAUCUGGUGAAGCUCUAGUUCUCAUUUUUGUCUCCAUCAUCCUUUGCUUCAUUGCCACCCUAAGGAGGAUUAGGUGUUGGUGGAAGAGUAGACAUAUCCCUUCCCAUAAAAGCACCAUAAGCUCGAAACAUGUGGUCCAUAUGUUGAUAACAUUGGGUUUGAUAAGUCAUGUGUUGCUUAAACUAGUUCCCAAGUUGCUUAACUAGAUGCUCAAGGUUCUCAAUUCUUUGAGUCAUUGACAAUUGUUGGUGUCUUAGUCGAGGGGGUGGAGGAUUGUAACCAUCGCUCCUCGAUCGCUACCAGUAUCUAAAUCUUGCGGGAGAACUCGCCAAGUCCCGAACAAGCCUUAAUUGAAACUUAGUUAUUACAUUAUAUUGAUUCCACCGAUCUAUAUAAUUGUUUUGAAUCGUAUAACUCUUUGUAAUAUGAUUUGAACAAAAGUCAUUAUAAUUCGACUUAACUUUUAUUCUUGAUAAUUGUAAAAGGACAUCAAGGUUUUUAAUCUCCAAAUGUACAUUCGUGUUAACAGUACUGUCUAUUUACAUAACAAAAUACAUUAUGACGACUCGACCUCUAGCUGCGGAGCAACUCGAAAUAAAGUGCUAUGAGAUGCCUUUACCUAUCCGCGGUGGACAAUAAGUGCCAAUGAAUGCAUGCUAGGCUGAUCACUUAUCUACAAAAGGGAGAUAAAAGGGUGAGUCUCACAAACUCAGUGAUCAUCGGCUCUGUGAGUAGGGCGUAGAUGGGAAACAAGCUUAGAGCAGAUAAUUUGAAGGAUAAAAUCAGAGUAUAAAAUGAUAACCUUAUAAAACCAAAUAACAAAUAUGGUGUUUGUGCCUUGUAAAAAUAAUUCCAUAAAAGCAUAAUGCAAUACUUUCCUUGGCAAACAAUGUCGAAAUUAAAGCAUAGUAAAAUAAAUUUCAAUCAUCAAAAUCGUGUAUUUCCUUCCAAAAUACAAUAGUCGUAUCAAAGCACACAUGCUCCCAAAAUGUGUGGCAUGUAAAAAUAAUCCUAUAUAUCCACAUAUAUCAAGUCAUGAUCAACAUAUAAAGAACUGAAAACUUUUAAUUAAAUAGGGGAGCUACGGAAAAACAAUAUCUCUCCACCAUGCAAAAAAGUACGAGUCUAAAAACUCUUAAGGCUCUCGAGUAGGUAAUCAUAAAUAAUUAAUUCGUGGACCCUCUUCCACAUAAUAACAAUCUGGGAGGCCCCCCUCCACCGGAUUCCCACAGCCAUGGCAGUCUAAACGAUGUUCGUCGACAUCGAAGAAAUCAUGUGGUGGCAACCACGUAUAUCAACUCGUGGCCUUGCCACGUAUAACAACCUGUGGCCUUGCCACAUAUAAUCACAAACCGUGGCCUAGCCACGUCUAAUAGCCCAUCGGUGAUCCAACAGUUCUCUAACUAGAGCUCACUUGUGCACAAGGGUCACACUAUCUCGAUGUGACAUUCAGCCUACUCUCGAUGCUCUCGGUUUGUCAAAAUCGUUUUCAAAACCAAAUCAAGGUUUCCAAGAGUUUUCUUUAAAUCCGUUGAAAACAAGGUUCGACAGCUUUUCAAAAUUGUUUUUCAUGUUAAAAUGCAUGGUGUAAACAUUUGCAUAGAGUUUAGAUUAAAACCGGCUAACAAGAAAUCAAACUUAAACCAUUUAUCAAGUGCAAUCAUCUAUGCACAAUUCACAAAGAUUCAAGGCACGAUUUUUGAUGCAAAACAUUGCAAAAUGGCUUGUUUCUCGAUUUCUAAAACACUUUACAUAUAUGUAUAUAUAUAUAUAGUCUACACAAACAACUUCCAAAUCUCUUUGCAUCCACAAUUUCCUAUGGUUUCUACCAGCUCAUGCUUUCCACAAAAACAAUGUACAAAUUGUUCCAAACCAUGUAUUCAAAUCUCAAAUCACUUAUCAUUUUCUAGCAACUCAUGCUUUCCACAAAGAUGUUGAAUAAAUCAAUGACAAGUUACUAUACAUAUAACAUUAUAUAGUAUGGAAUCUUUUGAAAUAGACACCCUCUACUCACCUUACAAUGGCAGGAUAUUACUUUGCCACUAAUAUUUCCUCAAAUGCUUACUUUAGGCUUGCGGCAAUAAUCCAUGCUUUGUCAACUUCCUAACAUCAUUUCAAUCCAAUACAUUUAAUAAGCUUUGCUACCAAUAUAUUCUACAUUUGCUGUUCGCAUUUAAUUCUAUACUUUCAUCUCUAUUCUUAAGAGAUAACCGUUUACACUUAAUCCUUAGUGUAAACUUUGAAUUACAUAAACCCAGCAAUUUGUUUAUGAUUUCAAAUGCCCACGUCAAUCUUCUAAUAACAUUUGUCACGUUCAAACUAUUACUUUCAUACUAUUAAUCACAUAUAUGACAGCAACUAUAAAUCCGAUUUCACUCAAUUAUUUCCAAGCUUACGUGCAUAAUUGUCUAUAUAACUUUCAAUGCUUUAUUUCUCAAUCCACCAUCCACAUUAUUCAUCCUUAUUUCUUUCAAUUAACACAACAAUAGCCAUUUUCUCAAAAUCUUCUAACUAUACUUAAAGCAUUAUUCAUUUUUACCUUUGAGGUUGCUUAAGCCUCACAUGUACUCCAAUAUUCUUCCAAGUUUCAAUCACCAAGUUGCCAACAUUAUUCAUAAAUUAUUUUCUUAACAAUUUUACUAACCGUAGGCCUUAAAACACAAUACCAUGCUUAACUUUUCUCUUUCACUUUGAAUCCAUCAUGCAUCCAAAAGUUUGAUGGCUUGCAUGUCACUAUAUCCUCUCCAAUCAAGCUUUUCUUUGCUGCCAUAAACACAACCCAACAUUACCAAUCCAAAUUUCCAAGGAUACAUUCAAACUAAAGCCAUUCUCUUACCUUUUCUUUACUUGAAUCAUAAAAUUGAGCCACACAUGCUCUUCCAAUUUUUAAAUCUCUUUUUGGAUGGUGAAAUAUCAAAUCUUAACAAGGUAAAGGGAAGGAAAUCUUCACAGUUGCCUUACGUUUUCUUAAAUCGAGCCUCCCCUUAACUCACUCAUUUCUUCUCUUUCCUCUCUACCAUGUGGGUAAAACUUACAAAGCCAAUUCUUUCCUUUCUUUUUCUCUCAAGGGCAUGGUUUGCCCAAGUUCCUAAAGCUUUCAUUUCCUUUUUCCCUUUUCUUUUUUGUUAUUUCUUAGUUUUGUUUCUUUAGUUUCAUAUUGGACCACCUUACCACCCAAUGGUUCUUCAUGCACCAAUAUUCUCUACAUGUUAUUGGUUAAGUAUCCACCUUUCAUUAUCCUUCCAUUCUUUAAUUCAUUUCCACUUAAUCCCACUUUAUUUGCGUCCAAUGGUCUUUCAUGCAACUUUCCCCACCUUAAUUUCCAUUUGGCCUCCUCCUUGGCCAAUGACAUUUCAUGCAACUAUAUUUUCUCUUCUUUUAGUCUAAUUGUCACCAAGUGUCCAUCAUGCAUAAAUCUUUCAUACAUUCUUUUAACUUAAAAAUCCACAUGCAUGUGUUAUCUUAUUCAUUUUGCCUUUUGCUUUUUUGUUUGUCACAUGGUGGGGGUGUCAAGUCUGACUCUACAAUAUGUUUAUUAUGCCAUUCUUACAUAAGAAUGCAUGUUUGCUUACUUGGGUACCUCGAAAAUCGUUAAAGGACGGUAAUGUACCAAAUGGUACAAUUAAGUUGAAUUAAGCCUCGAACUAGUCCAGAUAGAGAUAUUAAGACAAAAUUGAGAAUUUUAAAUUCCUAGAAUGACUUAAAAUGGUGAUUUGGAGUUCAAGGACCGAUUUGGAGUCAAAUUGAAAUUUUCAUGAUCUAGGGGCAAAAUGGUCAUUUUGUCACCCGAGGUUAAGAUGUGAGUGUUGGAAGAAGUUUUUGAUUAAGAUUGACUAUUUAAAACAUAAUUUGAGUUUGAGAAGUGAAAAAUUUUAAUUUUGGCAUUUUUCGAGCAUAAAGGGUAAAAUAGUCAUUUUGCCACCUUAGGGGCAAAAUUGUAAUUUUACACACCCAACACUUGUCCAGCACAUGGAUUUUACCCAAUAUUAUCAUGGAUAAUUGAAGGAUUUUAUGUGGUGGAGAAAGAAAGAUUAAUAGUUAAGAAUUUAAAAAUGGACCAAUGGUAAAGUGAUAAGUGUCAAGCUUUUAAUUCUUUAUUAAUUUCCUUAUAAAUUAGCACAAAAUCAGCCCAUUUCUCAUUCAUAUGGCCGGCCAAAGAAGAAUAAAGGAUGAAAAGAAAGAACAAGAACCCUAGGUGGAAAAAUUCAAGGGAAAAGUGUGAAAAUUCAAGGAAACAAGGGAAAAAAAGGUAAGAUUUUUCAAUUAAGCUUGAGAUCUUUCUUUCUUAAGCAUUUUUGCUUAUUUUUCAUGGUUGAAUCACAUGAUUUCAUGAUGGGUAUCUUGCUGAUCAAACCCUAGGAGAGAGAAUUUGAUGAUGAUUUAGAUAGAUUUUGAAGAUAUAUGGACGUUUUUAGUUGUUUAUGGUGUUAAGUGUAAGAAUUAAGCUUGAAAUUCACAUAUUCCUCAGGAGUUCAUCAUUGGCCGAAUCUUCCUUGUAGAGUGUUGAUGGUGAAUUUGAUUUUAUUUCAAGUGAAUUGGUUAGAAAAUGAUGAAUUAUGGUGAAAAAAUCAAGUAGGAAAAAUCAUAGUGUUGAUGCACUCACCAUGGCCGAAAUUCUCAAGAAUAAAUGUGAGGAUAGUUUUGCUAAAUUUUAUGUUAUCUGACUUGUGUUUGGUGAUUUGAAGAAUUGGGAGAAAAAUGGAAUUAAUUGGAGUUGAAUUGGACAUAUUGGCCAAUUAAUCGGGUGAUAGAUCGAAUUAGGCCAAUACCGAUUUAUUUUGGUACACAAUUGAAUUUGUGUAGAACACCGUGUUUAGGCGAUAAUCUGAACGAUCUGCAUUCCAUUUCAUGCAUUAGUAAAGAGCCUAAAAUAGAGUUAAAAUGGUAUGACACAGUAUAUUGAAUUAUGUGUCGUGUAUUCUAUAUAGGUGGUGAGCCCUCUAACAAGGGUAAAGACGUGGUGUUAGAGGACUGAGAAUAGGAGUAUUUCAAACUCCUGAUACAGUGAGUAACCUUAUCAUCAUCUUGAUUAUCUGAAGUGAAUUUUUAUUCGAUUUUGUGGAUUUUAUGGAAAAUGAGUUUAAAUGGUAAAUCUUUAUGUUUUAUAAGUAAAAUGUGAUUAAACGAAAUGAUUUUAUAAAAUUGUCUUGAAAUUGAAUGAUGGUUUUGAAAAUGGAGUAAUUGGAGACUAAUUGCUGUGUUAUAAAUCAUGGUUUGAACUGAAUGGCUUAUGAUAAUAUUGGCAUGAAUGGUUGAAUUAGUAAAUGUACUGAAAAUGUAUGAACUGUUGAUUUGCCUUGAGAGGCUGUAAAAUAAAAUAAUUGCCAUGUCAUGCUAUUAUAAAUUUUAUUGAAUUGGUGGGUUAUAUAUUGGUCGCUACAGUGGACCGGUUCCGUGGACCAGCCUAUUAGAGGGGCAUGGUAACCCUAUUAUAUUCAUACCUCAGUAUGAGAGGCGCGGAUGGAUAACUCCUAAGGUUAACACUUUAGAGUUCACUUCACGCUAAACCACCACGUGAGGGUGAACUCAGCCAACGCCAAAGAACGACUAUGUUUUCAAAAUAAAAAACAUGAUUUAUGCGUACAUAACUUUUUAACAGCCUUGGCGGACUCGGUUGAGAUAGCCCUUGGCCAAGGUAUCCUUGAUAAUUGAGUAUGAGAAUGAUUUUGGCACGAGCCAAACUUUUCACGAAAUCAUAAGCCUCGUUGUUUAUUUUGGUGAAAUGAAUCUAUUUUGUCUUAUUAAAAUGAGUUCGAAAUGCUGAGAAUCAUUUUUAUACUCAUCUAUUUUAUCUGUCUCCAUUUACUCAGCUUUAGAUAUUUUAGAUGGUAUUUGUUUACUCACUGAAAUUAUAUAAUCUCACCACCCUCCUUUCCACCCAUUUCAGGCUCAGGAUAGUCGGUAGAUAGCUCAUUUCAUCGAGAGCUACCAUUGGAUUUGCAUCCUCCAAAUUGUAGGUUCACAACCUUUAUUACUUUUGGUUAUUCGAGGGCCCACUUGUUAUUAUAAUUAAAUCUUAUGCUUUGGUUAUAGG